RNAcentral lists this ribosomal RNA (1777 nucleotides) under Salmonella enterica. Its description in RNAcentral is "partial 23S ribosomal RNA". It matches the Rfam family "Bacterial large subunit ribosomal RNA", at positions 1043 to 2803 of the family's 2925-position model. The record is from RNAcentral. Lineage: Bacteria; Pseudomonadati; Pseudomonadota; Gammaproteobacteria; Enterobacterales; Enterobacteriaceae.
GGUCCCAAAGUCAUAGUUAAGUGGGAAACGAUGUGGGAAGGCCCAGACAGCCAGGAUGUUGGCUUAGAAGCAGCCAUCAUUUAAAGAAAGCGUAAUAGCUCACUGGUCGAGUCGGCCUGCGCGGAAGAUGUAACGGGGCUAAACUAUGCACCGAAGCUGCGGCAGCGACACUAUGUGUUGUUGGGUAGGGGAGCGUUCUGUAAGCCUGUGAAGGUGUGUCGUGAGGCAUGCUGGAGGUAUCAGAAGUGCGAAUGCUGACAUAAGUAACGAUAAAGCGGGUGAAAAGCCCGCUCGCCGGAAGACCAAGGGUUCCUGUCCAACGUUAAUCGGGGCAGGGUGAGUCGACCCCUAAGGCGAGGCCGAAAGGCGUAGUCGAUGGGAAACGGGUUAAUAUUCCCGUACUUGGUGUUACUGCGAAGGGGGGACGGAGAAGGCUAUGUUGGCCGGGCGACGGUUGUCCCGGUUUAAGCGUGUAGGUGUGUGUUCCAGGUAAAUCCGGUUCACUUUAACACUGAGGCGUGAUGACGAGGCACUACGGUGCUGAAGCAACAAAUGCCCUGCUUCCAGGAAAAGCCUCUAAGCAUCAGGUAACAUCAAAUCGUACCCCAAACCGACACAGGUGGUCAGGUAGAGAAUACCAAGGCGCUUGAGAGAACUCGGGUGAAGGAACUAGGCAAAAUGGUGCCGUAACUUCGGGAGAAGGCACGCUGACACGUAGGUGAAGUGAUUUACUCAUGGAGCUGAAGUCAGUCGAAGAUACCAGCUGGCUGCAACUGUUUAUUAAAAACACAGCACUGUGCAAACACGAAAGUGGACGUAUACGGUGUGACGCCUGCCCGGUGCCGGAAGGUUAAUUGAUGGGGUCAGCGCAAGCGAAGCUCCUGAUCGAAGCCCCGGUAAACGGCGGCCGUAACUAUAACGGUCCUAAGGUAGCGAAAUUCCUUGUCGGGUAAGUUCCGACCUGCACGAAUGGCGUAAUGAUGGCCAGGCUGUCUCCACCCGAGACUCAGUGAAAUUGAACUCGCUGUGAAGAUGCAGUGUACCCGCGGCAAGACGGAAAGACCCCGUGAACCUUUACUAUAGCUUGACACUGAACAUUGAGCCUUGAUGUGUAGGAUAGGUGGGAGGCUUUGAAGUGUGGACGCCAGUCUGCAUGGAGCCGACCUUGAAAUACCACCCUUUAAUGUUUGAUGUUCUAACGUGGACCCGUGAUCCGGGUUGCGGACAGUGUCUGGUGGGUAGUUUGACUGGGGCGGUCUCCUCCUAAAGAGUAACGGAGGAGCACGAAGGUUGGCUAAUCCUGGUCGGACAUCAGGAGGUUAGUGCAAUGGCAUAAGCCAGCUUGACUGCGAGCGUGACGGCGCGAGCAGGUGCGAAAGCAGGUCAUAGUGAUCCGGUGGUUCUGAAUGGAAGGGCCAUCGCUCAACGGAUAAAAGGUACUCCGGGGAUAACAGGCUGAUACCGCCCAAGAGUUCAUAUCGACGGCGGUGUUUGGCACCUCGAUGUCGGCUCAUCACAUCCUGGGGCUGAAGUAGGUCCCAAGGGUAUGGCUGUUCGCCAUUUAAAGUGGUACGCGAGCUGGGUUUAGAACGUCGUGAGACAGUUCGGUCCCUAUCUGCCGUGGGCGCUGGAGAACUGAGGGGGGCUGCUCCUAGUACGAGAGGACCGGAGUGGACGCAUCACUGGUGUUCGGGUUGUCAUGCCAAUGGCACUGCCCGGUAGCUAAAUGCGGAAGAGAUAAGUGCUGAAAGCAUCUAAGCACGAAACUUGCCCCGAG